AUUGAACGCUGGCGGCAUGCUUUACACAUGCAAGUCGAACGGUAACAGGUUAAGCUGACGAGUGGCGAACGGGUGAGUAAUGCAUCGGAACGUGCCCGGUCGUGGGGGAUAACGCAGCGAAAGCUGCGCUAAUACCGCAUACGAUCUGAGGAUGAAAACGGGGGACCGUAAGGCCUCGCGCGAUUGGAGCGGCCGAUGUCAGAUUAGGUAGUUGGUGGGGUAAAGGCUCACCAAGCCAACGAUCUGUAGCUGGUCUGAGAGGACGACCAGCCACACUGGGACUGAGACACGGCCCAGACUCCUACGGGAGGCAGCAGUGGGGAGCUUUGGACAAUGGGCGAAAGCCUGAUCCAGCAAUGCCGCGUGCAGGAAGAAGGCCUUCGGGUUGUAAACUGCUUUUGUACGGAGCGAAAAGGUCUCCUCUAAUACAGGGGGCUCAUGACGGUACCGUAAGAAUAAGCACCGGCUAACUACGUGCCAGCCGCCGCUGUAA
Molecule: ribosomal RNA, 493 nt
Filed under: uncultured bacterium
Lineage: Bacteria
Description: partial 16S ribosomal RNA
Rfam family: Bacterial small subunit ribosomal RNA
Source: RNAcentral